UGGGGAAUUUUGGACAAUGGGCGAAAGCCUGAUCCAGCAAUGCCGCGUGUGUGAAGAAGGCCUUCGGGUUGUAAAGCACUUUUGUCCGGAAAGAAAUCCUUGGCUCUAAUACAGUCGGGGGAUGACGGUACCGGAAGAAUAAGCACCGGCUAACUACGUGCCAGCAGCCGCGGUAAUACGUAGGGUGCAAGCGUUAAUCGGAAUUACUGGGCGUAAAGCGUGCGCAGGCGGUUUGCUAAGACCGAUGUGAAAUCCCCGGGCUCAACCUGGGAACUGCAUUGGUGACUGGCAGGCUAGAGUAUGGCAGAGGGGGGUAGAAUCCCACGUGUAGCAGUGAAAUGCGUAGAGAUGUGGAGGAAUACCGAUGGCGAAGGCAGCCCCCUGGGCCAAUACUGACGCUCAUGCACGAAAGCGUGGGGAGCAAACAGGAUUAGAUACCCUGGUAGUCCACGCCCUAAACGAUGUCAACUAGUUGUUGGGGAUUCAUUUCCUUAGUAACGUAGCUAACGCGUGAAGUUGACCGCCUGGGGAGUACGGUCGCAAGAUUAAAACUCAAAUGAAUUGACGGGGUCAUA
This 575-nucleotide ribosomal RNA is filed under the name uncultured bacterium. RNAcentral's name for it is "partial 16S ribosomal RNA". It matches the Rfam family "Bacterial small subunit ribosomal RNA", at positions 355 to 923 of the family's 1533-position model. The record is from RNAcentral.